This 865-nucleotide long non-coding RNA is filed under the name Solanum lycopersicum (tomato). Its description in RNAcentral is "uncharacterized LOC101256572 (LOC101256572)". Lineage: Eukaryota; Viridiplantae; Streptophyta; Magnoliopsida; Solanales; Solanaceae. The record is from RNAcentral.
AAACAAACAAAAUUCAACUCUUUAUCUUCUUUUCACUCACAAAUUUCUUCAAUCACUAAGAAAAAAACAACUAGUUAUGGCACUUGAAGCUUUGAAUUCUCCAACCACAACAACUCCACCAUCACUAUUUCAAUUCCAAAUUAAUACUACUACUCAAAAUUACCUUGAAUCAUGGACAAAUAGCAAGAUGAGAUCGAAACGACCUCGUAGCGGCCUCAUCAUGGAGGAGCAACAACCAAUUAUUUCUGAAGAUGAAUACUUAGCUUUGUGUCUACUCAUGCUCGCACACAGCAAUAACAAUAACAAUAACGAUAUUACUAGUAGUGUUCAGUUUGCGGCAAGUGUUUUGGAUCUUAUCAAGCUUUAGGAGCUAGUCACCGUAGUAAUAGAGAUAAAGUCAACGAACACUCUGUGAUUACAUAUAGUGCCACGUCAGGUAACGCGGUUAGUGGAAGGACUCAUGAGUGUUCCAUUUGCCACAAGACUUUUCCAACUGGACAAGCUUUGGGUGGUCAUAAGAGACGUCACUAUGAGGGAAAAGUGACGUCAUCAUCAUCGUCGUUGAACGGUGUGGGGUCCGUCAACAACUUUGACUUGAACGUUCCGGCAUUGCCGGAAUAUUGGCCGGGUUUUGGCUCCGGCGAAGAUGAGGUGGAAAGUCCUCAUCCAGCUAAGAAAUUAAGGCAAUUAUUAUGACAAGUUCAUAAUUUAGUAUACUUGUUUAAUUUGUUUUUACAUGUCCAUUUGGAUGAGGUGGACAAUUUUUAAUUUUUUUUCAAUUUUUUGUAAAUGUCCAAUACACUUGGAGAAAGUGAUUAAUUGAUUGAUUUAUUUUACUAAAUUAUAAAUCAAACUCAUUGAUUUU